RNAcentral lists this non-coding RNA (156 nucleotides) under uncultured Agathobacter sp. The record is from RNAcentral. Lineage: Bacteria; Bacillati; Bacillota; Clostridia; Lachnospirales; Lachnospiraceae.
AGGGCAUUAGAUUUUCUUAAUGUUCUGUACGCUUUCCAGCAACUCGGCAACAGGACGUUGCCGAGAGCGAGAGCUGAGCCAUGGAUGGCGAAUCUCGAGCGGUUGCGUCAAGCUUAAUCCACCUAAACCAGAACAUUUAGAAAAUCUUACGCCCGA